GACGAACGCUGGCGGCGUGCUUAACACAUGCAAGUCGAGCGGUAAGGCCCUUUCGGGGGUACACGAGCGGCGAACGGGUGAGUAACACGUGGGUGACCUGCCCUCAGCUCUGGGAUAAGCCUGGGAAACUGGGUCUAAUACUGGAUAUGACUCCACGGUGCAUGUCGUGGGGUGGAAAGCCUUGUGCGGCUGAGGAUGGGCCCGCGGCCUAUCAGCUUGUUGGUGGGGNGAUGGCCUACCAAGGCGACGACGGGUAGCCGGCCUGAGAGGGCGACCGGCCACACUGGGACUGAGACACGGUCCGGACUCCUACGGGAGGCAGCAGUGGGGAAUAUUGGACAAUGGGCGAAAGCCUGAUCCAGCGACGCCGCGUGGGUGAAGAAGGCCUGCGGGUUGUAAAGCCCUUUCGGUGGGGAAGAAAAGCCUCGAGUUAAUACCUCGGGGUCUUGACGUAACCCAUAGAAGAAGCACCGGCUAACUCUGUGCCAGCAG
This 492-nucleotide ribosomal RNA is filed under the name uncultured bacterium. RNAcentral describes it as "bacterial SSU rRNA". It matches the Rfam family "Bacterial small subunit ribosomal RNA", at positions 28 to 514 of the family's 1533-position model. The record is from RNAcentral.